ACAGGGCUGAGGUUGCUCCACAUUGGGCCAGGGAGGUUUGUGCACAGAAUGUGGUUGGCUUUGUAGGGCUGUGCCAAGCUGCUGGCACAAAGAUAAAGGGCCGAGUCCCCCAGCUCCAAGGCGCUCACAUUCAUCUCAGAGCUAUAGUUAGAGAACUGGCGCCCUGAGAAUCGAGCAGGGAAGUUUCCUUUAUCAUUCUGUAUCUCAUUGUAGUAUUGGAAGAGGAACUGAGGGUCCUGUCCUGGGGCCUGUUGGUACCAGUACACUCUGUUAUGCCCAGAGAUAGGGGAGCACCUCAGUGUCACUUGCUGUCCUCUCAUUUUGAUCAGGUGUCUUGGAGUUUGGGUGACUCCAGCCUCUCCCAGGCCUGUGGGAAAAGCAGAUGGAAAAUGAGCACAGGAGACAGCCUGGUGCUACCUCCUCCCCAAGGUAAAGUGGAGGACACCGAGCGGGGACAAGCUCAGAAUGGGGGUGCUGUCCUGUCUGCAGGGACUCACCUGCUCCCAGGAGACAGAGCAGCGUCCAACAGAGCAGCCCGGAGCCCAUGGCACGAAGGGUCAGGCAACACUGUCUGUGCUCAGGGCUCGGUCCUCCUGGGGGAGAGCUGAGUUCUCAGCCUCACUUUUCCUGAUGGGAGGGGUAUCCUGUGACGUCACUGUCCUGUGUCCUCCCCUUUCAGGCUUCCUGAGAUCCAGUGCUCCCUGUUCUGCUCAGCGGAAUGCAGUGUGCUGUGAGGGAGGGAGAGAGAGGCUGGGGAAAGAACACAGGCGGGAGCCUGAGGGUCCCUUGGAUGAGGCGUGCUCCAGAGACAUCCCACCUGUGCCAAAGACUCACCCACUCCCAGGAGACAAAGCCCUUUCCAUCAGAGGCACCUGGAGCCUAUGGCCAGUCCAAAGGUAAACAACACCAUGGGACAUCAAUAAGAAGAGGUUCCGAUCCAGCUGCAUCUGACAUUGGUGGUCCCUAGCCAACAGGCCCAUGAGCUAUAAUCAGUGACCAGCACCUCUUCCAAGAUGCCCUCCAGAGGAGGAAAAUGCUGCACUGGGGGAGCACCCAUGGAUAUAAAACAGGUGAAAUUCUCUGAAGCCCAGAUGGCAAUGUUCUACAACUGAAUACUUUUUAUGAAUUUCGUGCAUACAUAAUUCACCAAAACCUUUUCUAAUAGAAGCUGGUGUGUCUGAUGCAGUUUCUGAUUGUGGAUAAUAGAAAGCUUCUACAUAAAAUCAUGUAAAUAUGAGCCAUCAGUAUCAUUCACAUUAAGGACUAGUAUAUUAUUCUACUGUAAAGUGAAUACCUAGAAAUUUUUGAGUUCAAUUAGAUAAAAUUUCUAGAUUGCUGGCUAGUCCUUAACUAGAAAAAGAAACAAAACAGAAUAUAGAGAUUUCUUCAGAGAUGCCUCAUAUCCCAUGAUAAAUGACUAUUAUAUUUCAGAUAAGAACAGGCUGAGAUAAUAUUAUAAAAAUGUGUGAAAAAUGAGAGCAUGAAUUGGACUUCUCCUAAAGUUGCAAACUAGCACCAUCUCCUGGCUCCUUCUCCAGAUGAACCUGAUGAGGCAAGAAAGAAAUAUGAAUAUCAGAAACUCACCAAUAACGAUUAUAAUCUUUUGGGAAGAUGGAAGCUAUUUCAGACAGGAGUAAGAAGAAUACGAGUGGUGAGCCCAAGACUGCAGUGAGAAAACAAGAUGGUGGAAGUGGUUUAAAGCCUACCGUGUCCGACUCCCUCCUUACAUGGAGACAAUCUUAUCUACACUUUCACUUUAGAAAUCAAUAUUAGAGCAACCGAUACCACUGGGACACCAAGAAUACUAAAAGAAAGAUAAUUUCUAUCAUCUGAGUGUCUGUGUCCCCAAAAUUCACAUGUUGAAAUUUUAAGCCCUGAUGUGAUGAUGUUAGGAUGUCAAGCCUUUGGGAGGGAAUUAGGUCAUGAAGGCCUAAGGGGUUAGUGCCCUUACAGAGACGUCAGAGAGCUAGCUGCCCCUCCCACCAUGUGAGGCCAGAGUGAGAAGGAGUCAUCUAUGAACCAGAAAAUGUGCCCUCUAAGCCAUGCUCUCUCUAGGUUCCAUGUAUCCUGUGGAGUAAACAGGGGCCUGAAACAAAAUGUGGGAACUUGCCUUAGGUAAACAGGAUAAGAAUUUCCCAAGCACUCUCAGGACUCACCUGCUCCAAAGAGACAAAAGAUCAUCCUGCAUAAAAGCCUACAGUCCCCUCAUGGCAGAAUUAUGCAGGGCUGAGGCCACUCCCAGCUGAAGUUCUGGUCAUUAGCAGUGCAAAUGGGGAGAUCUUGUGAGGUCAUAGUCUCGGCUGCAGCCACAGUCUCAGGAUCCCCCACUGGAGGAGUGGGGGCCUUAGUGCCACAGUGGACACGGAUGCCCCUCAGAUUUUCCAUAAGACCUCUGGCCAUAACCAUCUGGCCUCUGUGUUUCCUGGGGGUGCACGGGUGCCCCCAGGCCCGGCCUCUGUGUUUUCUGGGGGGUGAAGGCCUGAAGACCCUGUGUGAAAUAGUGUAGCCGAGGAGCCCCCAAGAAACACAGAUUUCAGGAAACCUAGGCAAGCUUAAGACAUAAGGAGAACAGUCAGGACCCACUCUCCUCUCUAAAGGCCAGUGUAAAGCUACAAUCCAGAGACACUGGACUCAGCCUGAUGAUUUAACACACUGGAAUAAAGAUACCUAAGGGAGGAAAAAAUCAUCCGUCAAGUGUCAGUGUGGAGAGGAAAUCCAGCGAGGAGUUGAGACCUGAAACCAAGGACGCUUCAGGUCAAGGGAGGGAGAGUGGAUGAGUCAGGAAGUUUCCAGACCAUGGUUCAUGGGUUCUGAACAGAUGGGAGUGGACAGAGGCACAUUUGCUGCCUGCGGGGCUCAGAGAAGGUGCCUGUGCGUAUUUGGAGCUUUGAUCAGGGCGGUAAUUUACACUCUAGUUUUGAGUUUAAAUAAGAAAAACAGAGAAUAGACAAGGUGGAAUACAGAAUAAUAGAACUGCUGUAACAGGUAUUUCUCAAACCCAUUCCCCAAACGAUGAGUUGUCUACUGUCCUCUCCAGCUGGCUCCUGCCCUGGGACCCUUGCCUGGAAGUUGCCUCUAUGAUUCCCCAAAACCCAGUGCUGCUUGGCCUUGGGUGUCAGCAAUCUGUGACAGAAGGGACCCCUUGGUUCCUGAGAAAGAGAAGCCUGGAAACCACCAGAUAUAAAGUGUCAGAAGAACUUGGCUCCUCACAGGACACUGUGUGGCCCAGUGCAGGGUAUGACUCUGCAGUGAUGCAGGUGAUUAUUUAG
Molecule: long non-coding RNA, 3269 nt
Organism: Aotus nancymaae (Ma's night monkey)
Lineage: Eukaryota; Metazoa; Chordata; Mammalia; Primates; Aotidae
Source: Ensembl